This 240-nucleotide ribosomal RNA is filed under the name uncultured bacterium. Its description in RNAcentral is "partial 16S ribosomal RNA". It matches the Rfam family "Bacterial small subunit ribosomal RNA", at positions 81 to 334 of the family's 1533-position model. The record is from RNAcentral.
AAUCCAUGAGUAAAGUGGCGCACGGGUGAGUAACACGUGACUAACCUACCCUUGAGUGGGGGAGUAACCUAGGGAAACCUGGGCUAAUACCGCAUAAUACCUACGGGUCAAAGGAGCAAUUCGCUUUAGGAGGGGGUCGCGGCAGAUUAGUUAGUUGGCGGGGUAAUGGCCCACCAAGACGAUGAUCUGUAUCCGGCCUGAGAGGGCGCACGGACACACUGGAACUGAAACACGGUCCAG